GGGUAUACAGCUCAGUGGUGGAGCACAUGCCUAGCAUGCAUAAGGUCCUGGGUUGAAUCCCCAGUACCGCCA
This 72-nucleotide transfer RNA is filed under the name Camelus bactrianus (Bactrian camel). It matches the Rfam family "tRNA". From Rfam's summary of the family: Transfer RNA (tRNA) molecules are approximately 80 nucleotides in length. Their secondary structure includes four short double-helical elements and three loops (D, anti-codon, and T loops). RNAcentral also lists the same sequence under 1 other name. The record is from Rfam by way of RNAcentral. Lineage: Eukaryota; Metazoa; Chordata; Mammalia; Artiodactyla; Camelidae.